GACGAACGCUGGCGGCGUGCUUAACACAUGCAAGUCGAGCGGUAAGGCCCUUUCGGGGGUACGACGAGCGGCGAACGGGUGAGUAACACGUGGGUGACCUGCCCUCAGCUCUGGGAUAAGCCUGGGAAACCGGGUCUAAUACCGGAUAUGACUCCAUGACGCAUGUUGUGGGGUGGAAAGCCUUGUGCGGCUGAGGAUGGGCCCGCGGCCUAUCAGCUUGUUGGUGGGGUGAUGGCCUACCAAGGCGACGACGGGUAGCCGGCCUGAGAGGGCGACCGGCCACACUGGGACUGAGACACGGCCCAGACUCCUACGGGAGGCAGCAGGUGGGGAAUCUUGCGCAAUGGGCGAAAGCCUGACGCAGCGACGCCGCGUGAGGGAUGACGGCCU
Molecule: ribosomal RNA, 390 nt
Filed under: uncultured bacterium
Lineage: Bacteria
Description: bacterial SSU rRNA
Rfam family: Bacterial small subunit ribosomal RNA
Source: RNAcentral